This 181-nucleotide non-coding RNA is filed under the name Fictibacillus enclensis. RNAcentral describes it as "Bacillus sp. NIOC03 Bacterial small subunit ribosomal RNA". It matches the Rfam family "Bacterial small subunit ribosomal RNA", at positions 1 to 178 of the family's 1533-position model. The record is from Rfam by way of RNAcentral. Lineage: Bacteria; Bacillati; Bacillota; Bacilli; Caryophanales; Fictibacillaceae.
UUAUUGGAGAGUUUGAUCCUGGCUCAGGAUGAACGCUGGCGGCGUGCCUAAUACAUGCAAGUCGAGCGAAUGACGAGGAGCUUGCUCCUCUGAUUUAGCGGCGGACGGGUGAGUAACACGUGGGUAACCUGCCUGUAAGACGGGGAUAACUCCGGGAAACCGGAGCUAAUACCGGAUGAUA